GGGGGCGCAACGGCUUCGACGGAGGCAAUGAAGCAAGGGCUGCAGGCCGAGGUGCCGCGAGGCCUCGUUAAACACGCGGCAAAAUAAUAGUUGCCAACGACUACGAUUACGCCCUGGCUGCAUAGACCAGCCAGCGCUCUCACGGCUGAUGCCUGAUAGGCUAGUGAGAGCGACGACCUUAUCAGGCUCGCCAGGUAUGUUCGCCUUCCGGCAUACCGGUUAAAACCUGAGGAAGGCUCGGUGCAAAGGUCCCGGAUCAGGGGGUACUUUUGCACUCAAUACAAUACCUGAUCUAAGCCUGUAGACGCUCUUGUGGAGUGUCUUCGGACGCGGGUUCGACUCCCGCCGCCUCCACCA
This 357-nucleotide transfer-messenger RNA is filed under the name Desulfovermiculus sp. It matches the Rfam family "transfer-messenger RNA". Rfam says of the family: Bacterial tmRNA, also known as 10Sa RNA or SsrA, is named for its dual tRNA and mRNA-like properties. The record is from RNAcentral. Lineage: Bacteria; Pseudomonadati; Thermodesulfobacteriota; Desulfovibrionia; Desulfovibrionales; Desulfohalobiaceae.